This 53-nucleotide transfer RNA is filed under the name Ovis aries (sheep). The record is from Rfam by way of RNAcentral. Lineage: Eukaryota; Metazoa; Chordata; Mammalia; Artiodactyla; Bovidae.
UCUGACAGUAAAGAAUCUGCCUGUAAUGCAGGAGACCCAGGUUCAAGCCCUGG